GAAGAACGUAGCGAAAUGCGAUAAGUAAUGUGAAUUGCAGAAUUCAGUGAAUCAUCGAAUCUUUGAACGCACAUUGCGCCCGCCAGUAUUCUGGCGGGCAUGCCUGUUCGAGCGUCAUUACAACCCUCAGGCCCCCGGGCCUGGCGUUGGGGAUCGGCGGAAGCCCCCUGUGGGCACACGCCGUCCCUCAAAUACAGUGGCGGUCCCGCCGCAGCUUCCAUUGCGUAGUAGCUAACACCUCGCAACUGGAGAGCGGCGCGGCCAUGCCGUAAAACACCCAACUUCUGAAUGUUGACCUCGAAUCAGGUAGGAAUACCCGCUGAACUUAAGCAUAUCAAUAAGCGGAGGA
Molecule: unclassified non-coding RNA, 349 nt
Filed under: soil metagenome
Description: partial contains 5.8S ribosomal RNA, internal transcribed spacer 2, and large subunit ribosomal RNA
Rfam family: 5.8S ribosomal RNA (bases 1-117)
Source: RNAcentral